UCCGAGUUGACCCCGGCAGUCUCCUACGAGUCCCCGGCAUAACCCGCUGGCAACAUAGGACAAGGGUUGCGCUCGUUGCGGGACUUAACCCAACAUCUCACGACACGAGCUGACGACAGCCAUGCAGCACCUGUGCACGGACUCCGAAGAGGGCCCGGUGUUUCCACCAGGUUUCCCGUGCAUGUCAAGCCCAGGUAAGGUUAUUCGCGUUGCAUCGAAUUAAUCCACAUCAUCCACCGCUUGUGCGGGUCCCCGUCAAUUCCUUUGAGUUUUAGCCUUGCGGCCGUACUCCCCAGGCGGGGCACUUAAUGCGUUAGCUACGGCACGGAACCCGUCGAUAGAGUCCCACACCUAGUGCCCAACGUUUACGGCGUGGACUAC
This 381-nucleotide unclassified non-coding RNA is filed under the name uncultured Actinomycetes bacterium. Its description in RNAcentral is "uncultured actinobacterium contains 16S-23S intergenic spacer region". The record is from RNAcentral. Lineage: Bacteria; Bacillati; Actinomycetota; Actinomycetes.